This 111-nucleotide ribosomal RNA is filed under the name Haplochromis burtoni (Burton's mouthbrooder). The record is from RNAcentral. Lineage: Eukaryota; Metazoa; Chordata; Actinopteri; Cichliformes; Cichlidae.
GCUGGGGCCAGUAGCUUAUGGCCACCCUGAGCUUCUCAUGAAGCUAAGUAGGGUUGCCCUUGGUUAGUACUUGAAUGGGAGACUGGCUAGCAAUACCAGCUUCUCCAAGCU